This 751-nucleotide ribosomal RNA is filed under the name Providencia rettgeri. RNAcentral's name for it is "partial 23S ribosomal RNA". It matches the Rfam family "Bacterial large subunit ribosomal RNA", at positions 2180 to 2925 of the family's 2925-position model. Lineage: Bacteria; Pseudomonadati; Pseudomonadota; Gammaproteobacteria; Enterobacterales; Morganellaceae. The record is from RNAcentral.
GUGGAGCCAACCUUGAAAUACCACCCUUUAAUGUUUGAUGUUCUAACGUUGCCCCGUUAUCCGGGGUGCGGACAGUGUCUGGUGGGUAGUUUGACUGGGGCGGUCUCCUCCCAAAGAGUAACGGAGGAGCACGAAGGUUGGCUAAGCAUGGUCGGACAUCAUGCGGUUAGUGCAAAGGCAUAAGCCAGCUUGACUGCGAGAGUGACGGCUCGAGCAGGUACGAAAGUAGGUCUUAGUGAUCCGGUGGUUCUGAAUGGAAGGGCCAUCGCUCAACGGAUAAAAGGUACUCCGGGGAUAACAGGCUGAUACCGCCCAAGAGUUCAUAUCGACGGCGGUGUUUGGCACCUCGAUGUCGGCUCAUCACAUCCUGGGGCUGAAGUAGGUCCCAAGGGUACGGCUGUUCGCCGUUUAAAGUGGUACGCGAGCUGGGUUUAGAACGUCGUGAGACAGUUCGGUCCCUAUCUGCCGUGGGCGUUGGAAGAUUGAAAGGGGCUGCUCCUAGUACGAGAGGACCGGAGUGGACGCACCACUGGUGUUCGGGUUGUCAUGCCAAUGGCAUUGCCCGGUAGCUAAGUGCGGAAAAGAUAACCGCUGAAAGCAUCUAAGCGGGAAACUUGCCUUGAGAUGAGUCUUCCCUGACCCUUUAAGGGUCCUAAAGGAACGUUUAAGACUAAGACGUUGAUAGGUUGGGUGUGUAAGCGUAGCGAUACGUUGAGCUAACCAAUACUAAUGAACCGUGAGGCUUAACCUG